RNAcentral lists this ribosomal RNA (429 nucleotides) under Gemmatimonadota bacterium. Its description in RNAcentral is "Gemmatimonadetes bacterium partial 16S ribosomal RNA". It matches the Rfam family "Bacterial small subunit ribosomal RNA", at positions 355 to 776 of the family's 1533-position model. Lineage: Bacteria; Pseudomonadati; Gemmatimonadota. The record is from RNAcentral.
UAGGGAAUCUUCGGCAAUGGACGAAAGUCUGACCGAGCAACGCCGCGUGAGUGAAGAAGGUUUUCGGAUCGUAAAACUCUGUUGUUAGAGAAUAACAAGGACGUUAGUAACUGAACGUCCCCUGACGGUAUCUAACCAGAAAGCCACGGCUAACUACGUGCCAGCAGCCGCGGUAAUACGUAGGUGGCAAGCGUUGUCCGGAUCUCUUUGGCGUAAAGCGAGCGCAGGCGGUUUCUUAAGUCUGAUGUGAAAGCCCCCGGCUCAACCGGGUAGGGUCAUUGGAAACUAUGAGACUUUAGUGCAGAUGAGGUGAUUGGAAUUCCAUGUGUAGCUGUGCAGUGCGUAGAUAUAUGGAGGAACACCAGUGGCGAAAGCGGCUCUCUGAUCUGUAACUGACGCUGAGGCUCGACAGCGUAGGGAGCAAACAGG